RNAcentral lists this non-coding RNA (109 nucleotides) under Maritimibacter alkaliphilus HTCC2654. Its description in RNAcentral is "TPP riboswitch aptamer (THI element)". It matches the Rfam family "TPP riboswitch aptamer (THI element)". From Rfam's summary of the family: Vitamin B(1) in its active form thiamin pyrophosphate (TPP) is an essential coenzyme that is synthesised by coupling of pyrimidine and thiazole moieties in bacteria. The previously detected thiamin-regulatory element, thi box was extended, resulting in a new, highly conserved RNA secondary structure, the THI element, which is widely distributed in eubacteria and also occurs in some archaea. The record is from Rfam by way of RNAcentral. RNAcentral also lists the same sequence under 1 other name. Lineage: Bacteria; Pseudomonadati; Pseudomonadota; Alphaproteobacteria; Rhodobacterales; Roseobacteraceae.
UCACAUAACCAGGGGUGCUCCUUCUCGGGGCUGAGAUGCGCGAUCCGGCGCGAACCCUUUCACAGCUGAUCUGGAUAAUACCAGCGGAGCGAGGUGCUAGCAUGUUCAU